AAGGUUAAAACUCAAAGGAAUUGACGGGGACCCGCACAAGCGGUGGAUGAUGUGGAUUAAUUCGAUGCAACGCGAACAACCUUACCUACCCUUGACAUGUCUGGAAGCCUGCUGAAAGGCGGGUGUGCCUGAAAGGGAACCGGAACACAGGUGCUGCAUGGCUGUCGUCAGCUCGUGUCGUGAGAUGUUGGGUUAAGUCCCGCAACGAGCGCAACCCUUGUCCCUAGUUGCUACGCAAGGGCACUCUAGGGAGACUGCCGGUGACAAACCGGAGGAAGGUGGGGAUGACGUCAAGUCCUCAUGGCCCUUAUGGGUAGGGCUUCACACGUCAUACAAUGGUCGGUACAGAGGGUCGCCAACCCGCGAGGGGGAGCCAAUCCCACAAAGCCGAUCGUAGUCCGGAUCGCAGUCUGCAACUCGACUGCGUGAAGUCGGAAUCGCUAGUAAUCGUGGAUCAGCAUGUCACGGUGAAUACGUUCUCGGGCCUUGUACACACCGCCCGUCACACCAUGGGAAUUGGUUUCACCCGAAGCCGGUGAGCUAACCAGCAAUGGAGGCAGCCGACCACGGUGGGGUCAGUGACUGGGGUGAAGUCGUAACAAGGUAGCUGUAGGGGAACCUGCGGCUGGAUCACCUCCUU
RNAcentral lists this ribosomal RNA (640 nucleotides) under uncultured beta proteobacterium. Its description in RNAcentral is "bacterial SSU rRNA". It matches the Rfam family "Bacterial small subunit ribosomal RNA", at positions 890 to 1532 of the family's 1533-position model. The record is from RNAcentral. Lineage: Bacteria; Pseudomonadati; Pseudomonadota; Betaproteobacteria.